Molecule: ribosomal RNA, 474 nt
Filed under: uncultured organism
Description: partial 16S ribosomal RNA
Rfam family: Bacterial small subunit ribosomal RNA
Source: RNAcentral
CACUCCUGCGGGAGGCAGCAGUGGGGAAUUUUGGACAAUGGGGGCAACCCUGAUCCAGCAAUGCCGCGUGAGUGAAGAAGGCCUUCGGGUUGUAAAGCUCUUUUGUCAGGGAAGAAACGGUAGUAGCGAAUAACUAUUACUAAUGACGGUAACUGAAGAAUAAGCACCGGCUAACUACGUGCCAGCAGCCGCGGUAAUACGUAGGGUGCAAGAGUUAAUCGGAAUUACUGGGCGUAAAGCGUGCGCAGGCGGUUGUGUAAGUCAGAUGUGAAAUCCCCGGGCUCAACCUGGGAAUUGCAUUUGAGACUGCACGGCUAGAGUGUGUCAGAGGGGGGUAGAAUUCCACGUGUAGCAGUGAAAUGCGUAGAUAUGUGGAGGAAUACCGAUGGCGAAGGCAGCCCCCUGGGAUAACACUGACGCUCAUGCACGAAAGCGUGGGGAGCAAACAGGAUUAGAAACCCUUGUAGUCCCAUG